AUGGGUGCACGGGGCAUCGAAGGAGAGCAUCCAAGCUCCUCGAUCCAAGAACCUGAGGUUUGGAAAGCAUUGUGGAAGCUGAAUGUGCAACCGAAAAUCAGGAUUUUUGGGUGGAGAGUUCUAAAGGAAUUUCUGCCAUCCAAAGGAGAGCUCACUAGACGACAUAUCGACGAUAAGGCGUUCUGUCCAGUGUGUGGACAUGACAAUGAAACUCUAUAUCAUGCGCUAAUUACAUGUGAUCAUGCGAAGCUUUUCUGGAGGAAGGCCACUGACUUCUUUGGUCUCAGGGUCCCCAAGUUGCAUCCUGCAACCUGGUCACAGGACAUAUUGGAUGCUACCUUUCUAAGCAAAGACAGGGCAACGGUGGCAGUGUCAGUCAUGUGGGCUAUAUGGAGCAGUAGAAAUAAAUAUACUCACGAGGAAGUGAAGUACCAGCCAGGGAGAUCAAUGAUUCUGAUCCAGGAACUCAUUCAUGGAUUUUAUAUCCCUACUGCUAGAAGGGAUGAGGGGAGGAAGGAGAUGGCCACAUGGAGACCGCCGGAGGAAGAGUGUGUGAAAAUUAACACGGAUGCAGCCAUUGAUAACAUUGCUGAGAUGGCGGCAACCAGGGUGGUGGCGCGGGACCAUGGGGGUCAGGUUGUUGUCGCUCGGACGACAAAAAUCCCACAGCUGACAGAUGCGUAUGCAGCGGAAUUGUUGACUGUCCGAGAUGCUGCACAUUUAGCAGUAGAGAAAGGAUGGCAGAAUGUGGUAAUAGAAACAGACUGCCAAACGAUAUGCGAAGAGUGGAGGGCUGGAAGCUUUCACUCAGUUGGAGGACAUGUGAUGCGAGAGAUCAGUUACUUGCUUGCAGAUUUGCAGGGCUCUAACAUCAUUUAUACUCGACGUGAAGCUAAUGAGGCCGCUCAUUGGUGUGCCAAAUAUGGUCUAUCUACAGAAUCGAGUGCAUGGGUCUUGGAUGUAAUCCCUGUACCUUUGAUUGCGAUAGUGCAAUCUGAUGUAAAUCGCCACAAAGAUGAAUAA
This 1023-nucleotide ribosomal RNA is filed under the name Triticum aestivum (bread wheat). RNAcentral describes it as "partial small subunit ribosomal RNA". Lineage: Eukaryota; Viridiplantae; Streptophyta; Magnoliopsida; Poales; Poaceae. The record is from RNAcentral.